UGCCUACGGGACGCAGCAGUGAGGAAUAUUGGUCAAUGGGCGCGAGCCUGAACCAGCCAAGUAGCGUGAAGGAUGACUGCCCUACGGGUUGUAAACUUCUUUUAUAAAGGAAUAAAGUGAGGCACGUGUGCCUUUUUGUAUGUACUUUAUGAAUAAGGAUCGGCUAACUCCGUGCCAGCAGCCGCGGUAAUACGGAGGAUCCGAGCGUUAUCCGGAUUUAUUGGGUUUAAAGGGUGCGUAGGCGGUCCGGAAAGUCAGCGGUAAAAGCCCGGGGCUCAACCCCGGCGAGCCGUUGAAACUGUCGG
This 305-nucleotide ribosomal RNA is filed under the name uncultured bacterium. RNAcentral's name for it is "bacterial SSU rRNA". It matches the Rfam family "Bacterial small subunit ribosomal RNA", at positions 335 to 639 of the family's 1533-position model. The record is from RNAcentral.